Molecule: ribosomal RNA, 433 nt
Filed under: uncultured bacterium
Lineage: Bacteria
Description: partial 16S ribosomal RNA
Rfam family: Bacterial small subunit ribosomal RNA
Source: RNAcentral
GACGAACGCUGGCGGCAGGCCUAACACAUGCAAGUCGAGCGGACCUUUCGGGGUCAGCGGCGGACGGGUGAGUAACGCGUGGGAAUAUGCCCUUCUCUACGGAAUAGUCCUGGGAAACUGGGGGUAAUACCGUAUACGCCCUUGGGGGGAAAGAUUUAUCGGGGAAGGAUUAGCCCGCGUUGGAUUAGGUAGUUGGUGGGGUAAUGGCCUACCAAGCCGACGAUCCAUAGCUGGUUUGAGAGGAUGAUCAGCCACACUGGGACUGAGACACGGCCCAGACUCCUACGGGAGGCAGCAGUGGUGAAUCUUAGACAAUGGGGGCAACCCUGAUCUAGCCAUGCCGCGUGAGUGAUGAAGGCCUUAGGGUUGUAAAGCUCUUUCAGCUGGGAAGAUAAUGACGGUACCAGCAGAAGAAGCCCCGGCUAACUCCGUG